GAAACUGCGAAUGGCUCGUGUUAAAUCUAUGUAUGCUGAUUAAUUGAUAAUACCCUACUAUAUUUGUUACAGAUUUUUUUUUUUUUUUGGGGUGCGCAAACCCCGACUUCGGAGGGUGUAUAUAUUACAUAAAAAACCAAUACCCUUCGCCGCUCCUUAAUGAUUCAUAAUAACUUCACCAAUCGCAUUGCCUUUCUCCGUCUAUUUUUCAUUCAAAUUUCUUCCCUAUCAAUUUUCUAUUGUACAAUAAUGGCCUACCAUAGUAGCAACUGGUAACGGGGAAUUAAGGUUCCAUUCCCGACACGCAGCCUGAUAAACGGCUACCACAUCCAAGGAAGGCAGCAGGCGCGCAAAUUACCCAAUCCCGAUACGGGGAGGUAGUGACAAUAAAUACUGAUACAGGGCUCUUUUGGGUCUUGUAAUUGGAAUGAGAACAAUCUAAACACCUUAACGAGGAACAAUUGGAGGGCAAGUCUGGUGCCAGCAGCCGCGGUAAUUCCAGCCCCAAUAGCGUAUAUUAAAGUUGUUGCAGUUAAAAAGCUCGUAGAUUGAACCUUGGGCCCGUCCUCCCGGUCCGCCUCCCCGCGAGUACUGGUCCGGAUGGGCCUUUCUUUCUGGGGACCCCAUGGCCUUCAAUGGCUUGUGGGGGGAACCAGGACUUUUACUGUGAAAAAAUUAGAGUGUUCAAAGCGCGCCUUUGCUCGGAUACAUUAGCUUGGAAUAAUAGAAUAGGACGUGCGGUUCUAUUUUGUUGUUUCUAGGACCGCCGUAAUGAUUAAUAGGGAUAGUCGGGGGCGUCAGUAUUCAGCUGUCAGAGGUGAAAUUCUUGGAUUUGCUGAAGACUAACUACUGCGAAAGCAUUCGCCAAGGAUGUUUUCAUUAAUCAGGGAGCGAAAGUUAGGGGAUCGAAGACGAUCAGAUACCGUCGUAGUCUUAACCAUAAACUAUGCCGAUUAGGGGAUCGGGCGGGGGUUUCUAUGAUGACCCGCUCGGCACCUUACGAGAAAUAAAAGUUUUUGGGUUCUGGGGGGAGUAUGGUCGAAAGGCUGAAAUUUAAAGAAAUUGACGGGAGGGCACCAAAAGGCGUGGGAGUGCGGUUUAAUUUGAUUAAACACGGGGAAACUCACCAGGUCAAGAAAAAAUAAGGAUUGACAGAUUGAGAGAUAUUUAUUAAUAUUUUGGAUGGUGGUGAAUGGCCGUUUUUAGUUGGUGGAGUGAUUUGUCUGUUUAAUUGGGAUAAGGAAGGAGACGUGGGCGCUUAAAUAGCCGGGUUCUGCGUUUGCGGGCCGCUGGCUCCUUAGGGGGACUCCUCCCAAAAAAAAAAAAAUUGUGAAAUAACAGGUAUGUGAUGCUC
This 1354-nucleotide ribosomal RNA is filed under the name uncultured eukaryote. RNAcentral's name for it is "partial 16S ribosomal RNA". It matches the Rfam family "Eukaryotic small subunit ribosomal RNA", at positions 83 to 1472 of the family's 1831-position model. The record is from RNAcentral.